This 635-nucleotide ribosomal RNA is filed under the name Salacia owabiensis. RNAcentral describes it as "eukaryotic LSU rRNA". The stretch from base 237 to 392 matches the Rfam family "5.8S ribosomal RNA". Lineage: Eukaryota; Viridiplantae; Streptophyta; Magnoliopsida; Celastrales; Celastraceae. The record is from RNAcentral.
AAGGCAGAGCCACCCGUGGACCGUUUAGAACUCCUCAUUCGAGUGGCGGGGCCUUGGCGUCCACCACUCGUCGCCCCAGGACUGGGGUCGUGGGCCGAGCCCACGUCUGCUAUCCUUGGGCGUUAACAACAAACCCCGGCGCAGAUCGCGCCAAGGAACAAGAAAGAAAGAGGCGUGCUCCCAUGGUCCCGGAUACGGUGCGCCACGGGUUGCGUCGUCGUUAUACUAUUCGAAACGACUCUCGGCAACGGAUAUCUCGGCUCUCGCAUCGAUGAAGAACGUAGCGAAAUGCGAUACUUGGUGUGAAUUGCAGAAUCCCGUGAACCAUCGAGUUUUUGAACGCAAGUUGCGCCCGAAGCCGUCAGGCCGAGGGCACGUCUGCCUGGGUGUCAGGAAACGUCGCCAAAACGUCCCUCUUCACCCCCUCUCGCUCGAGGGGGGAAGCAUCGAGGGCGGGCGGAUAUUGGCUUCCCGUGCGCGAUUGCUCGCGGUUGGCCCAAAAGAGAGCCCCCAGGCGAGGUGGCCACGACGCGCGGUGGUAGAAAGCGUAUGCUCUCCUCAAACACCGUCGUGUGCCGGCCUCGUGGGGCAGCAAGAGACCCGACGCGAAGCAGUGUUUCGCGAAGCGACCCCAG